RNAcentral lists this ribosomal RNA (534 nucleotides) under uncultured bacterium. RNAcentral's name for it is "bacterial SSU rRNA". It matches the Rfam family "Bacterial small subunit ribosomal RNA", at positions 777 to 1304 of the family's 1533-position model. The record is from RNAcentral.
AAUAGAUACCCGGGUAGUCCACGCCGUAAACGGUGGGCACUAGGUGUGGGCGACAUUCCACGUCGUCCGUGCCGCAGCUAACGCAUUAAGUGCCCCGCCUGGGGAGUACGGCCGCAAGGCUAAAACUCAAAGGAAUUGACGGGGGCCCGCACAAGCGGCGGAGCAUGUGGCUUAAUUCGACGCAACGCGAAGAACCUUACCAAGGCUUGACAUACACCGGAAACGUCCAGAGAUGGGCGCCCCCUUGUGGUCGGUGUACAGGUGGUGCAUGGCCGUCGUCAGCUCGUGUCGUGAGAUGUUGGGUUAAGUCCCGCAACGAGCGCAACCCUUGUCCCGUGUUGCCAGCAGGCCCUUGUGGUGCUGGGGACUCACGGGAGACCGCCGGGGUCAACUCGGAGGAAGGUGGGGACGACGUCAAGUCAUCAUGCCCCUUAUGUCUUGGGCUGCACACGUGCUACAAUGGCCGGUACAAUGAGCUGCGAUACCGCGAGGUGGAGCGAAUCUCAAAAAGCCGGUCUCAGCUCGGAUUGGGGU